UUUAUCAUUACUAUCUUGCAGCAGCUGUUGUGCAGCAGUAUUUUGUUUCACAUCCUCACAUAUUUUCCUUCCCUCUGUGGUCAAAGGCUAAACUCUGGAUGGCUUCUGCGCUGCUGGAAAGUGAGAGGAAAGGUGUCAGUCCCCUCCAAGCGGUAAGAAGGAGGCGGUCUCCUACUGGACCUUGAAUGUCACCAUACUGAGAGCAGAAACACAUCAGUCCAGAGAUUACUGGUCUGAAUCGGACUGCUACGUCAUUCUCUCUCUGCCCACGGCAACGGCAAUAACCUACCGCACAGCAACUGUGUCAAACACUAACAACCCGGAGUGGGAUGAAACCUUUACCUUCAGGGUCCCCACCAAUGUCAAAGUGAGUCAAUGACGACUGCAUCACUAUUCAGUUCACCCUCGAAAGAACCACUUCACCCACUCUAUCCUUUAAUAUUUAAAUAACAAUACAAUCUAUCCUCACUGC
Sander lucioperca (pikeperch) is the source of this 472-nucleotide RNA transcript. It is a transcript of the gene named cytosolic phospholipase A2 beta-like, with no coding region annotated. The record is from RefSeq and is a predicted model, not a curated record. The transcript has 4 exons. Lineage: Eukaryota; Metazoa; Chordata; Actinopteri; Perciformes; Percidae.